AGAGCAGUUCCGGAGGCUUGGACUCAAGGGCAGCGGCGGCGGCGGCAGCGGCGGCAGCAGCAGCAGCAGUAGCAGCAGCAGCAGGAAGGGUUGCUGAUCCCGGAGCUGUCACCCGCAGCAUAGACCACGGUUUAUAAGACAGUGUUAUAACUGCAACAAAGCUGAUGAACACCAAAGGAAAACAGGGGAGAAGGAAGAGCAAAACCGAUUUUUGUUUCUCCUGACAACCAGACACAGAGACCCUGCAGAGGAUCUGGUGGAUGCAUUUAUCAGGAAAAAUGCCCACUUCUCCUAGAGGGCCAAGAAGACUUGAAAAUGUAAAUCCCAUCCACCAACCUCCAGUCCCAUCCCCCACCCUAAAUGACGCAUCUCCAAAUUCUCUUUUAAAAUGCUUAUUGUAUUCCACCUUCACACCUAUCAAUACGUUCACAAAUGAUAUUCAUAAUUACUCCUUGAGCUUUUCUGCAAGGGAACAACUGAAGGGUUACAUUUUAACUUGAUCACAUAAAUUAUCUGUUCAUCCAAACCGAUUAACCAAGAGGAUUUGAGGGUCACUCCACUCAGUCUGUCUGUGUUGUUGAUUUUCGAAUCUUUGGUUUUAAUUUCCUGAACCAGUUGGUUUUUACUGCAGGGCUUCCUGCCAUUAGCUCCAGCUCCGGAAGAACGCAUGCGCCAAUUAGAGCAUCAAAGCCCUCUCCGCAGAGCUUGUUUCCAUAAAAUGGAGCGGAUCACAAACAAUAACAGUUCUCCAGAAACUGCCUCCCUGCUACAGAACUCAACCCCCAAACCCAGACGAACUCCACGCUACACCCUAAGCCACCACUACCAUUUUCUUGGCUUAUAAUUCUUUUGGAGUAUGAAUAGUGGGUUCUCUAUGGACUGUUAGGAUUUUUAAUGUAAUGCUACUGUAGUUGAGUUUUCUGGCACUGAACAAUUGCUGAUUUCCUAAACAGUUAUAUUACUACCAAUCUCUGACAUCAUCAACAAAAGGAAUUCAUAGGAUUCUUCCUCAAAUAAUACGGUUUUAAACAUUUUAAAACAUAAUUUACAAAGCUAGAAAAACUGAAUUGUAAUAUAGCUCCUCAAAUACAAGAUGUGAAUAAAAUGACUUCUUUA
Rhinopithecus roxellana (golden snub-nosed monkey) is the source of this 1116-nucleotide long non-coding RNA. RefSeq lists it as uncharacterized. Lineage: Eukaryota; Metazoa; Chordata; Mammalia; Primates; Cercopithecidae. The record is from RefSeq and is a predicted model, not a curated record. The transcript is spliced from 3 exons.